Molecule: ribosomal RNA, 404 nt
Filed under: uncultured Lachnospiraceae bacterium
Lineage: Bacteria; Bacillati; Bacillota; Clostridia; Lachnospirales; Lachnospiraceae
Description: bacterial SSU rRNA
Rfam family: Bacterial small subunit ribosomal RNA
Source: RNAcentral
UGGGGAAUAUUGCACAAUGGGGGAAACCCUGAUGCAGCGACGCCGCGUGAGUGAAGAAGUAUUUCGGUAUGUAAAGCUCUAUCAGCAGGGAAGAAAAUGACGGUACCUGACUAAGAAGCCCCGGCUAACUACGUGCCAGCAGCCGCGGUAAUACGUAGGGGGCAAGCGUUAUCCGGAUUUACUGGGUGUAAAGGGAGCGUAGGUGGUGUGGUAAGUCAGAUGUGAAAGCCCGGGGCUCAACUCCGGGACUGCAUUUGAAACUAUCAGACUAGAGUGCAGGAGAGGUAAGUGGAAUUCCUAGUGUAGCGGUGAAAUGCGUAGAUAUUAGGAGGAACACCAGUGGCGAAGGCGGCUUACUGGACUGUAACUGACACUGAGGCUCGAAAGCGUGGGGAGCAAACAGG